CAAGACUUUGAAAUCACUUCCGACUUUAUUCAGCUUUAAUAAGAUAUUGUAACUAACAAUAUUUAAUUAAAAAACAUACAUAUUUAAUUAUAUAUUUUUUUAUACUGUCAAUGUCUUGGUUGCAAAAGUGUGUACACCCGUAAUAAUGGGAUUGUAACUAAGCUCAGACAUAAUUUUUCUGGAUUUUUCAGCCUUCACAAUCCAGUAAUGCUAUGAAAUGACUACAUUUGAUGACCCUUACUGAAAAUAAACAAAGCUGCAUUUUCAGUAAGAAUUGUAGGAAAUUUGCCUUCAACUGGUCAAUCCCUUUUUAUUUUAUAAAGCUCUUUUGACAUCAGCAGUCAUCACAAAGUGCUUUUACAAAACACCCAGAAUGAAACUCCAAGGAGCAAGCAAUAACAGUGUUGAAUUGGUGGGAGACAAUUCAAAACAUUUUGGGAUUCCCUGCUGGACUAAAACUGAAUUAUCUUUGCCAAAAUAGAAAGUCUGUGUGGACGGUUAUCCCCCAUUUAUACAACCCAUAGGACCAGUGCAUUUAUGAAGUCACAAUAAAAAAAAUACUUGAUUGAGGGAUGCUACACAUCUGUUACAUGCAUGUAUUAAUUUGUAUAUAUUUUUUAAUAUCAUCAUUGUUAUUAUGUUAGUUAUUUGGUUGGCUAUUCAAAAAGUUUGCUAUACAUUUUACUGCUUUCAAUUAGAUGUUGUUAAAUUACAAAGAUUUGAUUUAGUAGUGGAUUAUAGGUCAAUUCCUAACUUGAAAAGUUUUGCUUUACUCUGUGCUGGACCUUUGUGCAAGUAAAAAGCUCAAACUCAAGGUUGUGCCAUUUGGGUUGAUAACAAUCAUUUUCCUUGUCCCUCACUUUUUAAUAGUUUACUCCUAUGGAACACCAAUUGGCUCUGUCUUUCUCAAACACAAAAUCUAUCUUUGGUAUAAUAAUAAUAACAACACAUGGGACAUAUACAGCGCUUUACAAGGACCCAAAUUCGUUUUAUAUUGUAGACAAAAACACAGCUCUAGGAUCAGUAUUGAACAAUCUCUAUUGUGGAUUAUUCUGUCUGGCAGCUCCACAUUACAGGAUUCAUUUAAAAACUGCUCCUUAAAUGUAUAGAUGUGUAAAAUUGUAAUAUUCCCAUCCAUGUAGUAAUCUAAGUCAGGUCAAAUGUAUUCUCAGGU
Esox lucius (northern pike) is the source of this 1174-nucleotide long non-coding RNA. The record is from Ensembl. NCBI's taxonomy places the organism in Eukaryota, Metazoa, Chordata, Actinopteri, Esociformes, Esocidae.